GAUGAACGCUGGCGGCGUGCCUAAUACAUGCAAGUCGAGCGAACGGACGAGAAGCUUGCUUUUCUGAUGUUAGCGGCGGACGGGUGAGUAACACGUGGAUAACCUACCUAUAAGACUGGGAUAACUUCGGGAAACCGGAGCUAAUACCGGAUAAUAUUUUGAACCGCAUGGGUCAAAAGUGAAAGACGGUCUUGCUGUCACUUAUAGAUGGAUCCGCGCUGCAUUAGCUAGUUGGUAAGGUAACGGCUUAUCAAGGCAACGAUGCAUAGACGAACUGAGAGGGUGGUCGGCCACACUGGAGCUGAGACACGGUCCAGACUCCUACGGGACGCAGCAGUAGGGAAUCUUCCGCAAUGGGCGAAAGCCUGACGGAGCAACGCCGCGUGAGUGAUGAAGGUCUUCGGAUCGUAAAACUCUGUUAUUAGGGAAGAACAUAUGUGUAAGUAACUGUGCACAUCUUGACGGUACCUAAUCAGAAAGCCACGGCUAACUACGUG
This 497-nucleotide ribosomal RNA is filed under the name uncultured bacterium. RNAcentral describes it as "partial 16S ribosomal RNA". It matches the Rfam family "Bacterial small subunit ribosomal RNA", at positions 28 to 507 of the family's 1533-position model. The record is from RNAcentral.